AAGGGUUUAGGUUAAGUAAACCAGUUGCCUUCAAAGCAAUCAAUAAGCAAAUAGUUUAACCUUUAA
RNAcentral lists this transfer RNA (66 nucleotides) under Ophiophthalmus serratus. RNAcentral describes it as "tRNA-Trp". It matches the Rfam family "tRNA". Rfam says of the family: Transfer RNA (tRNA) molecules are approximately 80 nucleotides in length. Lineage: Eukaryota; Metazoa; Echinodermata; Ophiuroidea; Amphilepidida; Ophiacanthidae. The record is from RNAcentral.